Molecule: transfer-messenger RNA, 387 nt
Filed under: Bacilli
Lineage: Bacteria; Bacillati; Bacillota
Also listed under: 1 other name
Description: RUG13868 sp902793375 Standard tmRNA
Rfam family: transfer-messenger RNA
About the family: Bacterial tmRNA, also known as 10Sa RNA or SsrA, is named for its dual tRNA and mRNA-like properties.
Source: RNAcentral
GGGGUCGACAAGGUAUCGACGGGAUUAACUGAGUAUAGAUUGCAAGUCGAGGCACACGUAAAUGCAUUCAGUAAAUAACUGGAAACAAAAUUAAAAAUGCAUUCGCUGCACUAUUCAACAGAAAUGCUGAAUCAGCUGUAGCUUUUGCCUAGUAUAACCUAGAGCAGAUGCGCUUCUUUUAUUUCUUUUCCUACGGGAAAUCUAAGAGGCUAAUUUAGUAGGAUAUAUUACUGUGAUGUCUAUAAGCAGUAAUGAAUUUUAUAGGCUUGCUAUGUGAUAACUUGUUAAUUAGUUUUUCAUAUAGUGAAAUUUCUUAAUUAACUAAACUUGUAGAAGUCUAUAUGUGGUUUUUUUCGGACGGGAGUUCGAUUCUCCCCGACUCCACCA